GCCGCGGUAGCUCAGUUGGCAGAGUGUGGGAUUCGUAAUCCAAGUGUAGCUGGUUCGAUACGGCUGCCUUGGUG
This is a non-coding RNA of Potamilus streckersoni, 74 nucleotides long. NCBI's taxonomy places the organism in Eukaryota, Metazoa, Mollusca, Bivalvia, Unionida, Unionidae. The record is from the annotation of a GenBank genome assembly.